This is a long non-coding RNA of Trachemys scripta elegans, 740 nucleotides long. RefSeq lists it as uncharacterized. The record is from RefSeq and is a predicted model, not a curated record. The transcript is spliced from 3 exons. Lineage: Eukaryota; Metazoa; Chordata; Testudines; Emydidae.
AGGGUUGAACUGAUCACACUGUCCCUACUUUGGCCUCAAAUUUUGAAGUAAGGGAAUAUCUUAUUAGGAGGGACCUUGGAAACUUUCCGUCUGCCUCACUUUGAAGCACUGAGAGAGAAUCAUUCAACAAAAUCAUAUGCUGCUUGUGGAAGGGAUGCCCCUGAAGAUGCUAAAGCCAUGCCGAGGUGCAGGACAAUAAAAUCACAAAUGGCUGAAAUGAAUACCCUUCAUGAUCACACAUCUAUGAGCCACAUAAUGUACCACUGCACAGUCUCCGACUUACUACCAGUAGAUGCCUUCAGCUGGUUUGCAAUCCCCGAGGGAACAUUAAAAACAUAUGGGGUAAAAAAGUGUAUUGUCAUAAUUAUUUAAUUGUUUUCUGAAUAAUUGUUAUAGCAAAAUAUAUCCUCUUCAUUGUGAGGAAAGAUGAGUUUAUAGUACAUCAUUCGAGUGGUCAAAAUGCCUCAUAAUUAAUUGGUAUUAACUGAAAAGAAUAUUGGCCUUUUCUGUACAUUUUCCUCGUAAUAUAUGUUACCUCUAGCAAUGAAAUUAGAGGGAGGACAGAAAGCUGUUUUAGAUCUAAUCGUAUUAAAUACUUUGGACAUGGUAUGAGGGACUGGAGAGAACAGAAAUGAUAAUUUAAUAUUGCUAAAGUAUGGUGUGCUGUCGUCAUCCAGAUUUUGUAACAUACAGCUUUGUAGAAAUUGGUUAAUAAUUCCAAGACAAUUUCCUUUGUUAAU